CAGCAGCCGCGGGAAUACAGAGGGUGCAAGCGUUAAUCGGAAUUACUGGGCGUAAAGCGCGCGUAGGUGGUUUGUUAAGUUGGAUGUGAAAGCCCCGGGCUCAACCUGGGAACUGCAUCCAAAACUGGCAAGCUAGAGUACGGUAGAGGGUGGUGGAAUUUCCUGUGUAGCGGUGAAAUGCGUAGAUAUAGGAAGGAACACCAGUGGCGAAGGCGACCACCUGGACUGAUACUGACACUGAGGUGCGAAAGCGUGGGGAGCAAACAGGAUUAGAUACCCCCGUAGUCCCUGUCUCUUAUAA
RNAcentral lists this ribosomal RNA (301 nucleotides) under uncultured bacterium. RNAcentral's name for it is "partial 16S ribosomal RNA". It matches the Rfam family "Bacterial small subunit ribosomal RNA", at positions 509 to 809 of the family's 1533-position model. The record is from RNAcentral.